UAGAGUUUGAUCAUGCUCAGAUUGAACGCUGGCGGCAUGCCUUACACAUGCAAGUCGAACGGUAACGCGGGGGCAACCCUGGCGACGAGUGGCGAACGGGUGAGUAGCGCAUCGGAACGUGCCCAGUAGUGGGGGAUAGCUCGGCGAAAGCCGGAUUAAUACCGCAUACGACCCACGGGUGAAAGCGGGGGACCGCAAGGCCUCGCGCUAUUGGAGCGGCCGAUGCCCGAUUAGCUAGUUGGUGAGGUAAAGGCUCACCAAGGCGACGAUCGGUAGCUGGUCUGAGAGGACGACCAGCCACACUGGGACUGAGACACGGCCCAGACUCCUACGGGAGGCAGCAGUGGGGAAUUUUGGACAAUGGGGGAAACCCUGAUCCAGCCAUGCCGCGUGCGGGAAGAAGGCCUUCGGGUUGUAAACCGCUUUUGGCAGGAACGAAACGGCGCGCGCUAACACCGCGCGCUAAUGACGGUACCUGCAGAAUAAGC
This 488-nucleotide ribosomal RNA is filed under the name uncultured bacterium. RNAcentral describes it as "bacterial SSU rRNA". It matches the Rfam family "Bacterial small subunit ribosomal RNA", at positions 1 to 491 of the family's 1533-position model. The record is from RNAcentral.